This 822-nucleotide long non-coding RNA is filed under the name Homo sapiens (human). RNAcentral's name for it is "HSALNT0102044". Lineage: Eukaryota; Metazoa; Chordata; Mammalia; Primates; Hominidae. The record is from RNAcentral.
AGUGAGCCGAGAUUGCGUCACCGCACUCCAGCCUGGGCGACAGAGCGAGACUCCGUCUCAAAAAAAAUGACUGGACAAAAAACACUCUGAUGCAAACAGGCAAGAAACCCAGCAAGGCCUAUCUGGAUUCUCCUUGGCCUGUCUGCAGCAUUCAUUCCUUCUGGGUAUGGAACAGGACCCUCUGGAAUGGGGGCUGUGGCCUACAACAGUUAAACAAGAAAUCUCUCUCUGGGAACAGUGUGGAAGAUGGAUUGAAAUGGUGUAAAAUUGAAGAUGUGGACUCCGGUUGGGAGACUACACCCUAGAUAAGAUGAAGAGAACUUGAAGCAAGACAAUAGCAAUGGGAAUAUAAAGGAGAGGAGACAUUUGAGUGAAAUUAAGGAAGCACAAUCUGCAGACUGUUUUCUUUUUUUUAAGAGUCAGGGUCUCCCUAUUUUGCCCAGGCUGGUCUCAAAGUCCUAGGCUCAAGCGACCCACCCACCUCAGCCUUCCAAAAUGCUGGAAUUACAGGGGUGAACUGCCUCACCAUGCCUCAGUCUGCAGAAUUUGAUGACUGAAUGUAUUUGGAGAGAGUCUGUGGCUUGGAUGACUGGAGACGGAGUUUCUCCAUUUUGGCCAGUUUGGUGUCGACCUCCCGGGCUUAAGCGAUCCACCCACCUCAGCCUCCCAAAGUGUUGGGAUUACAGGCGUGAGCCACUGUAUCCAGCUUGUGAUAUACUUUUAAUAAAUUUCUCUUAAACUUAAAUUAGCAAGUGCUUGUUUAUCAUCCUUCCAAUUAGAGAACCUGGAUUCGGCCAUUAGGAAGUCAAGGGUGGCAUUCAU